Non-coding RNA from Acanthosepion pharaonis, 110 nucleotides. The record is from the annotation of a GenBank genome assembly. NCBI's taxonomy places the organism in Eukaryota, Metazoa, Mollusca, Cephalopoda, Sepiida, Sepiidae.
CGGGCACAUCGCGUUGAAACAUCGGUUCCCGUACAGACACCGUAGUUAAGCAACCUCGAGCCUGAUCAGUACGUAGAUGGGUAACCGCUUGGGUAAUACCAGGAGUUGCU